This 384-nucleotide ribosomal RNA is filed under the name uncultured bacterium. RNAcentral describes it as "bacterial SSU rRNA". It matches the Rfam family "Bacterial small subunit ribosomal RNA", at positions 524 to 906 of the family's 1533-position model. The record is from RNAcentral.
UACGAAGGUUGCGAGCGUUGUUCGGAAUCACUGGGCUUAAAGCGCAUGUAGGCGGUCCACCAAGUGCCUCGUGAAAUCCCCCGGCUCAACCGGGGAAUGGCUUGGUAGACUGUUGGACUUGAGGCAGGUAGGGGCGCGUGGAACUCUUGGUGGAGCGGUGGAAUGCGUAGAUAUCAAGAGGAACGCCGGUGGCGAAAGCGACGCGCUGGGCCUGUCCUGACGCUGAGAUGCGAAAGCCAGGGGAGCAAACGGGAUUAGAUACCCCGGUAGUCCUGGCCCUAAACGAUGUCAACUAGGUCGGAGUCACUCUGACGUGUUUCUGGCCGAAACAAAAGCGUUAAGUUGACCGCCUGGGGAGUACGGUCGCAAGGCUAAAACUCAAAG